Molecule: ribosomal RNA, 445 nt
Filed under: uncultured bacterium
Lineage: Bacteria
Description: SSU rRNA
Rfam family: Bacterial small subunit ribosomal RNA
Source: RNAcentral
AGAACGAACGCUGGCGGCAUGCCUAACACAUGCAAGUCGAACGAGACCUUCGGGUCUAGUGGCGCACGGGUGCGUAACGCGUGGGAAUCUACCCUUGGGUUCGGAAUAACUUCCCGAAAGGGAUGCUAAUACCGGAUGAUGUCGUAAGACCAAAGAUUUAUCGCCCAAGGAUGAGCCCGCGUAGGAUUAGCUAGUUGGUGAGGUAAAGGCUCACCAAGGCGACGAUCCUUAGCUGGUCUGAGAGGAUGAUCAGCCACACUGGGACUGAGACACGGCCCAGACUCCUACGGGAGGCAGCAGUGGGGAAUAUUGGACAAUGGGCGAAAGCCUGAUCCAGCAAUGCCGCGUGAGUGAUGAAGGCCUUAGGGUUGUAAAGCUCUUUUACCCGGGAUGAUAAUGACAGUACCGGAGAAUAAGCUCCGGCUAACUCCGCGCCAGCAGCCGC